UCGAGCGAACAGACGAGGAGCUUGCUCCUCUGACGUUAGCGGCGGACGGGUGAGUAACACGUGGAUAACCUACCUAUAAGACUGGGAUAACUUCGGGAAACCGGAGCUAAUACCGGAUAAUAUAUUGAACCGUAUGGUUCAAUAGUGAAAGACGGUUUUGCUGUCACUUAUAGAUGGAUCCGCGCCGCAUUAGCUAGUUGGUAAGGUAACGGCUUACCAAGGCAACGAUGCGUAGCCGACCUGAGAGGGUGAUCGGCCACACUGGAACUGAGACACGGUCCAGACUCCUACGGGAGGCAGCAGUAGGGAAUCUUCCGCAAUGGGCGAAAGCCUGACGGAGCAACGCCGCGUGAGUGAUGAAGGUCUUCGGAUCGUAAAACUCUGUUAUUAGGGAAGAACAAAUGUGUAAGUAACUAUGCACGUCUUGACGGUACCUAAUCAGAAAGCCACGGCUAACUACGUGCCAGCAGCCGCGGUAAUACGUAGGUGGCAAGCGUUAUCCGGAAUUAUUGGGCGUAAAGCGCGCGUAGGCGGUUUUUUAAGUCUGAUGUGAAAGCCCACGGCUCAACCGUGGAGGGUCAUUGGAAACUGGAAAACUUGAGUGCAGAAGAGGAAAGUGGAAUUCCAUGUGUAGCGGUGAAAUGCGCAGAGAUAUGGAGGAACACCAGUGGCGAAGGCGACUUUCUGGUCUGUAACUGACGCUGAUGUGCGAAAGCGUGGGGAUCAAACAGGAUUAGAUACCCUGGUAGUCCACGCCGUAAACGAUGAGUGCUAAGUG
This 778-nucleotide ribosomal RNA is filed under the name uncultured Staphylococcus sp. Its description in RNAcentral is "bacterial SSU rRNA". It matches the Rfam family "Bacterial small subunit ribosomal RNA", at positions 62 to 822 of the family's 1533-position model. The record is from RNAcentral. Lineage: Bacteria; Bacillati; Bacillota; Bacilli; Caryophanales; Staphylococcaceae.